CCGGAAUCCGCACCGACUCACGUGUGGCAGGAGCGGGGGAACCAGGUAGGCCGCCGUCCGGAGCGAUCCGGCACGGCUAGGGGUCAAGUCGCGAUUCACGCGGCCGGACAUCUCCAGUCCGAACCCGACAGCUCACCUCGCAGGCGCCGGAGAGGAAAU
Molecule: small RNA, 159 nt
Filed under: Streptomyces pratensis
Lineage: Bacteria; Bacillati; Actinomycetota; Actinomycetes; Kitasatosporales; Streptomycetaceae
Description: c-di-AMP sequence
Rfam family: c-di-AMP riboswitch aptamer (ydaO/yuaA leader)
About the family: This family represents a conserved RNA structure found upstream of the ydaO and yuaA genes in Bacillus subtilis and related genes in other bacteria.
Source: RNAcentral